This 1045-nucleotide long non-coding RNA is filed under the name Sorghum bicolor (sorghum). RNAcentral's name for it is "long non-coding RNA (SBIC_LNC010378)". Lineage: Eukaryota; Viridiplantae; Streptophyta; Magnoliopsida; Poales; Poaceae. The record is from RNAcentral.
AGGCAUAACUGUUAUAAUUUAAACCUACUCUAAACCUAAACUUGUGGGAAGAGAACUUGAUCUGAAGUCUAACUUGUUAACGGAUAUGAUAUGAGAAGGUUGAUCCGCUGUUUAUCUGUUCCUAGGGAUGCUAGAAUUCUGGAGAAUUUUAUCUGUUAACGGAUAUGACAUGAUGAGUUCCUAUAUGAUGAGAGUUUAAAUUCCUACCAUAGCCAUAUAUACAUGCUUGCUUGACUUUAAGCCACACAUUUACUUUUUACUGCUUAUGAGCAUUGAGUGUGGUCAAGCUGUGUAGACCCUUAGGAGCUUGUCAUGCGGUUAAAAUCAAGAUUUACUUGCACGUUCACUCACACAUGCUGCUUCUACUUCAGAAGUACGCAUCCACAUAUAUCCACUCACUUCCAUCUUCAGGGCCACCCAAAAUUAUUCUACUCCUAAUCCGGGAGAGAAUAGCCAAAAUGAUUAUCCUAUCCCUGUUAUUCCCUAUGAAAUAAAUGCUCGAGUUAUCUUGGUUACUACCACUUGCUAUAUUAUUUCAGGAGAUGAGUGCUCUAAAAAAAGAAGAAGAGAAAAAAAGAGGAUACGAGGAAAUAAAAAGGGGUAAGUGCCCGAAACCUCGAAGAAAAGAAAAAUUGAGACGAGAGGUAAAAAUGGACAAGUGUCCGACAGUAGAAUUAGAGGUACAAGAUACCCACCUAAGAGGAAAGAAAAAGAAAAUAUAGAGCAUCUCCUUCUCCUCAAAAAGCUUCAAAGUGCAAGAAAGGUAUGUAUCCCCUCAUAAGAGCAAAAGUAGAAUUAGACUUUCACCAUUGUUAUCACCAUCAUCACCAUACAGCAUUCAUUCGCCACACAUGCACAUCUUGAUUUGACUUAUUGAUUUGUUUCUCUGGAUCCAUGGUUUGACUAUACAAUAAAUGUCUUGUAAGUAUGUACUAUCUAUCUCCCACCUAUGAGCUCCAGAUAUCAAAACCUUAUUAGAGUAGGGUGAGAGAGAAGGCAUAUACCAUCACUGCCUUGGAAAGGAUCCAGAAAUACCACAAAAGAG